AAGACUAUAGACCUGCGGAGUACCUGCGGAGGGAUCAUUAACAAAUUUGUUGAGUAUGUACAAUUGUGAACAGGCCAGAGUUUGUAUCUGAAGAAGCAUUUGUGUUGCUGAAUAAGCAAUUAUUUGUGUAGCUGAAGAAGCAGAUGAGCAAUUAUUUGUGUAGCUGAAUAUUUGUGUAGCAGAUAAGCAAUUAUUUGUCUAGCUAAAUAUUUGUGUAGCAGAUAAGCAAUUAUUUGUGUA
RNAcentral lists this unclassified non-coding RNA (240 nucleotides) under soil metagenome. Its description in RNAcentral is "partial contains 5.8S ribosomal RNA, internal transcribed spacer 2, and large subunit ribosomal RNA". The record is from RNAcentral.